UACGUAGGGGGCAAGCGUUGUCCGGAAUUAUUGGGCGUAAAGCGCGCGCAGGCGGUAAGCGAAGUCGAGUGUUUAAGCCCGGGGCUCAACCCCGGUUCGCACUCGAAACUGGCUCACUUGAGUGUAGGAGAGGAAAGUGGAAUUCCACGUGUAGCGGUGAAAUGCGUAGAGAUGUGGAGGAACACCAGUGGCGAAGGCGACUUUCUGGCCUAUAACUGACGCUGAGGCGCGAAAGCGUGGGGAGCAAACAGG
Molecule: ribosomal RNA, 252 nt
Filed under: uncultured bacterium
Lineage: Bacteria
Description: partial 16S ribosomal RNA
Rfam family: Bacterial small subunit ribosomal RNA
Source: RNAcentral